RNAcentral lists this non-coding RNA (23 nucleotides) under Cricetulus griseus (Chinese hamster). Lineage: Eukaryota; Metazoa; Chordata; Mammalia; Rodentia; Cricetidae. The record is from RNAcentral.
CAAUCUUUACACUCAAUGCUCAC